UUGAUCCUGGGCUCAGGAUGAACGCCGGCGGUGUGCCUAAUACAUGCAAGUCGUACGCACUGGCCCAACUGAUUGAUGGUGCUUGCACCUGAUUGACGAUGGAUCACCAGUGAGUGGCGGACGGGUGAGUAACACGUAGGUAACCUGCCCCGGAGCGGGGGAUAACAUUUGGAAACAGAUGCUAAUACCGCAUAACAACAAAAGCUGCAUGGUUUUUGUUUGAAAGAUGGCUUUGGCUAUCACUCUGGGAUGGACCUGCGGUGCAUUAGCUAGUUGGUAAGGUAACGGCUUACCAAGGCGAUGAUGCAUAGCCGAGUUGAGAGACUGAUCGGCCACAAUGGAACUGAGACACGGUCCAUACUCCUACGGGAGGCAGCAGUAGGGAAUCUUCCACAAUGGGCGCAAGCCUGAUGGAGCAACACCGCGUGAGUGAAGAAGGGUUUCGGCUCGUAAAGCUCUGUUGUUGGAGAAGAACGUGCGUGAGAGUAACUGUUCACGCAGUGACGGUAUCCAACCAGAAAGUCACGGCUAACUACGUGCCAGCAGCCGCGGUAAUACGUAGGUGGCAAGCGUUAUCCGGAUUUAUUGGGCGUAAAGCGAGCGCAGGCGGUUGCUUAGGUCUGAUGUGAAAGCCUUCGGCUUAACCGAAGAAGUGCAUCGGAAACCGGGCGACUUGAGUGCAGAAGAGGACAGUGGAACUCCAUGUGUAGCGGUGGAAUGCGUAGAUAUAUGGAAGAACACCAGUGGCGAAGGCGGCUGUCUGGUCUGCAACUGACGCUGAGGCUCGAAAGCAUGGGUAGCGAACAGGAUUAGAUACCCUGGUAGUCCAUGCCGUAAACGAUGAGUGCUAGGUGUUGGAGGGUUUCCGCCCUUCAGUGCCGGAGCUAACGCAUUAAGCACUCCGCCUGGGGAGUACGACCGCAAGGUUGAAACUCAAAGGAAUUGACGGGGGCCCGCACAAGCGGUGGAGCAUGUGGUUUAAUUCGAAGCUACGCGAAGAACCUUACCAGGUCUUGACAUCUUGCGCUAACCUUAGAGAUAAGGCGUUCCCUUCGGGGACGCAAUGACAGGUGGUGCAUGGUCGUCGUCAGCUCGUGUCGUGAGAUGUUGGGUUAAGUCCCGCAACGAGCGCAACCCUUGUUACUAGUUGCCAGCAUUAAGUUGGGCACUCUAGUGAGACUGCCGGUGACAAACCGGAGGAAGGUGGGGACGACGUCAGAUCAUCAUGCCCCUUAUGACCUGGGCUACACACGUGCUACAAUGGACGGUACAACGAGUCGCAAGCUCGCGAGAGUAAGCUAAUCUCUUAAAGCCGUUCUCAGUUCGGACUGUAGGCUGCAACUCGCCUACACGAAGUCGGAAUCGCUAGUAAUCGCGGAUCAGCAUGCCGCGGUGAAUACGUUCCCGGGCAUUGUACACACCGCCCGUCACACCAUGGGAGUUUGUAACGCCCAAAGUCGGUGGCCUAACCUUUAUGGAGGAAGCCGCCUAAGGCGGGACAGAUGACUGGGGUGA
Molecule: ribosomal RNA, 1515 nt
Filed under: uncultured bacterium
Lineage: Bacteria
Description: 16S ribosomal RNA
Rfam family: Bacterial small subunit ribosomal RNA
Source: RNAcentral